AUGCACGCUGGCGGCGUGCCUAAUACAUGCCAGUCGAGCGAACAGACGAGGAGCUUGCUCCUCUGACGUUAGCGGCGGACGGGUGGGUAACACGUGGAUAACCUACCUAUAAGACUGGGAUAACUUCGGGAAACCGGAGCUAAUACCGGAUAAUAUAUUGAACCGCAUGGUUCAAUAGUGAAAGACGGUUUUGCUGUCACUUAUAGAUGGAUCCGCGCCGCAUUAGCUAGUUGGUAAGGUAACGGCUUACCAAGGCAACGAUGCGUAGCCGACCUGAGAGGGUGAUCGGCCACACUGGAACUGAGACACGGUCCAGACUCCUACGGGAGGCAGCAGUAGGGAAUCUUCCGCAAUGGGCGAAAGCCUGACGGAGCAACGCCGCGUGAGUGAUGAAGGUCUUCGGAUCGUAAAACUCUGUUAUUAGGGAAGAACAAAUGUGUAAGUAACUAUGCACGUCUUGACGGUACCUAAUCAGAAAGCCACGGCUAACUACGUG
This 496-nucleotide ribosomal RNA is filed under the name uncultured bacterium. RNAcentral's name for it is "partial 16S ribosomal RNA". It matches the Rfam family "Bacterial small subunit ribosomal RNA", at positions 29 to 507 of the family's 1533-position model. The record is from RNAcentral.